This is a long non-coding RNA of Diabrotica virgifera virgifera (western corn rootworm), 404 nucleotides long. RefSeq lists it as uncharacterized. NCBI's taxonomy places the organism in Eukaryota, Metazoa, Arthropoda, Insecta, Coleoptera, Chrysomelidae. The record is from RefSeq and is a predicted model, not a curated record. The transcript has 2 exons.
UAUGAGUACACCACUUUUAUUUUCUAAAAUGUCAAGUCAAACGAGGCAUUUGAGAUUGAGAUUGAACAUGGAACAUCUGAUUGACAGACGACAUGGAUUCUGAAGGGUAUAAUCGUUGAUUGAUGUAUGUAUAAUUUUAAAUAAAAAACACUUUUACUAUCCGACAGUAUAGAAACCUAUAAAAUUGUUUUAGCAUGGAAGGAGUUCGUACUGUUUUGUAUAGAGGGCAGCAGUAGAUAUGCUUAGUCGCAAUUUUUUAUCCACACAUAUUUUAUUUUAUCUCAUUUUAACCAUUUUAUUUAUAUUAUUAUAUUAAAUUAAGUACAUUUUAAUUUUAAAUAAACACCACUUUUGCUGUGAAAUAACUAAAAACAAACAAUAAAAUGUUUUAGAAUGGAUAGGUA